This 492-nucleotide ribosomal RNA is filed under the name uncultured bacterium. RNAcentral's name for it is "partial 16S ribosomal RNA". It matches the Rfam family "Bacterial small subunit ribosomal RNA", at positions 29 to 507 of the family's 1533-position model. The record is from RNAcentral.
AGUGAACGCUGGCGGUAGGCCUAACACAUGCAAGUCGAACGGCAGCACAGUAAGAGCUUGCUCUUACGGGUGGCGAGUGGCGGACGGGUGAGGAAUACAUCGGAAUCUACUUUUUCGUGGGGGAUAACGUAGGGAAACUUACGCUAAUACCGCAUACGACCUACGGGUGAAAGCAGGGGAUUUUCGGACCUUGUGCGAUUGAAUGAGCCGAUGUCGGAUUAGCUAGUUGGCGGGGUAAAGGCCCACCAUGGCGACGAUCCGUAGCUGGUCUGAGAGGAUGAUCAGCCACACUGGAACUGAGACACGGUCCAGACUCCUACGGGAGGCAGCAGUGGGGAAUAUUGGACAAUGGGCGCAAGCCUGAUCCAGCCAUACCGCGUGGGUGAAGAAGGCGUUCGGGUUGUAAAGCCCUUUUGUUGGGAAAGAAAAGCAGCAGGUUAAUACCCCGCUGUUCUGACGGUACCCAAAGAAUAAGCACCGGCUAACUUCGUG